This 253-nucleotide ribosomal RNA is filed under the name uncultured bacterium. RNAcentral describes it as "partial 16S ribosomal RNA". It matches the Rfam family "Bacterial small subunit ribosomal RNA", at positions 524 to 776 of the family's 1533-position model. The record is from RNAcentral.
GACAGAGGGUGCAAACGUUGCUCGGAAUCACUGGGCGUAAAGGGCGUGUAGGCGGGAAGGAAAGUCAGAUGUGAAAUCCCUGGGCUCAACCCAGGAACUGCAUUUGAAACUCCCUUUCUUGAGUACCGGAGAGGAAGGUGGAAUACCUGGUGUAGAGGUGAAAUUCGUAGAUAUCAGGUGGAACACCGGUGGCGAAGGCGGCCUUCUGGACGGUAACUGACGCUGAGACGCGAAAGCGUGGGGAGCAAACAGG